CAGUAGCCGCGGUAAUACGUAGGUGGCAAGCGUUGUCCGGAAUUAUUGGGCGUGAAGGGCUCGCAGGCGGUUUCUUAAGUCUGAUGUGAAAGCCCCCGGCUCAACCGGGGAGGGUCAUUGGAAACUGGGAAACUUGAGUGCAGAAGAGGAGAGUGGAAUUCCACGUGUAGCGGUGAAAUGCGUAGAGAUGUGGAGGAACACCAGUGGCGAAGGCGACUCUCUGGUCUGUAACUGACGCUGAGGAGCGAAAGCGUGGGGAGCGAACAGGAUUAGAUACCCCAGUAGUCCCUGUCUCUUAUAA
RNAcentral lists this ribosomal RNA (301 nucleotides) under uncultured bacterium. RNAcentral describes it as "partial 16S ribosomal RNA". It matches the Rfam family "Bacterial small subunit ribosomal RNA", at positions 509 to 809 of the family's 1533-position model. The record is from RNAcentral.